This 253-nucleotide ribosomal RNA is filed under the name uncultured bacterium. RNAcentral describes it as "partial 16S ribosomal RNA". It matches the Rfam family "Bacterial small subunit ribosomal RNA", at positions 524 to 776 of the family's 1533-position model. The record is from RNAcentral.
UACGGGGGGAGCAAGCGUUGUUCGGAUUUACUGGGCGUAAAGGGCGCGUAGGCGGCGUGACAAGUCACUUGUGAAAUCUCCGGGCUUAACUCGGAACGGUCAAGUGAUACUGUCGUGCUAGAGUACAGAAGGGGCAACUGGAAUUCUCGGUGUAGCGGUGAAAUGCGUAGAUAUCGGGAGGAACAUCAGUGGCGAAGGCGGCUUACUGGACCAACACUGACACUGAGGCACGAAAGCGUGGGUAGCAAACAGG